RNAcentral lists this ribosomal RNA (1785 nucleotides) under marine metagenome. RNAcentral's name for it is "bacterial LSU rRNA". It matches the Rfam family "Bacterial large subunit ribosomal RNA", at positions 702 to 2487 of the family's 2925-position model. The record is from RNAcentral.
GCUGGGUGUAGACCCGAAACCAAGUGAUCUAUCCAUGGCCAGGAUGAAGGUGCCGUAACAGGUACUGGAGGUCCGAACCGACUAAUGUUGCAAAAUUAGCGGAUGAGCUGUGGAUAGGGGUGAAAGGCUAAACAAACUUGGAGAUAGCUGGUUCUCUCCGAAAACUAUUUAGGUAGUGCCUCAAGUAUUACCUGCGGGGGUAGAGCACUGUUUUGGCUAGGGGGUCAUGGCGACUUACCAAACCAAGGCAAACUCCGAAUACCGCAGAGUACAGCUUGGGAGACAGAGCACCGGGUGCUAACGUCCGGACUCAAGAGGGAAACAACCCAGACCGCCAGCUAAGGUCCCUAAAAUUGGCUAAGUGGGAAACGAAGUGGGAAGGCUAAAACAGUCAGGAUGUUGGCUUAGAAGCAGCCAUCAUUUAAAGAAAGCGUAAUAGCUCACUGAUCGAGUCGUCCUGCGCGGAAGAUGUAACGGGGCUAAGCCAGUUACCGAAGCUGCGGAUUUGCAAUUUAUUGCAAGUGGUAGGAGAGCGUUCUGUAAGCCUGUGAAGGUGUCUUGUGAAGGAUGCUGGAGGUAUCAGAAGUGCGAAUGCUGACAUGAGUAGCGAUAAAGGGGGUGAAAAGCCCCCUCGCCGUAAGCCCAAGGUUUCCUACGCAACGUUCAUCGGCGUAGGGUGAGUCGGCCCCUAAGGCGAGGCAGAGAUGCGUAGCUGAUGGGAAACAGGUCAAUAUUCCUGUACCGAUUACAAGUGCGAUGUGGGGACGGAGAAGGUUAGCUCAGCCAACUGUUGGAUAUGUUGGUUCAAGCCUGUAGUCGUGCCUGGUAGGCAAAUCCGCCGGGCUAAGAUGAGGGGUGAUAACGAGUGUGCUUGCACACGAAGUGAGUGAUACCCUGCUUCCAGGAAAAGCCACUAAGCUUCAGCUUGUAACGACCGUACCGCAAACCGACACUGGUGCGCGAGAUGAGUAUUCUAAGGCGCUUGAGAGAACUCAGGAGAAGGAACUCGGCAAAUUGAUACCGUAACUUCGGGAGAAGGUAUGCCCCUAGUAGGUGAACUCGAACAGAGGGAGCCCAAUGGGGUUGCAAAAAAUCGGUGGCUGCGACUGUUUAAUAAAAACACAGCACUCUGCAAACACGAAAGUGGACGUAUAGGGUGUGACGCCUGCCCGGUGCUGGAAGAUUAAAUGAUGGGGUGCAAGCUCUUGAUUGAAGUCCCAGUAAACGGCGGCCGUAACUAUAACGGUCCUAAGGUAGCGAAAUUCCUUGUCGGGUAAGUUCCGACCUGCACGAAUGGCGUAACGAUGGCCACACUGUCUCCUCCAGAGACUCAGCGAAGUUGAAAUGUUUGUGAUGAUGCAAUCUCCCCGCGGAAAGACGGAAAGACCCCAUGAACCUUUACUGUAGCUUUGUAUUGGACUUUGAACAGAUCUGUGUAGGAUAGGUGGGAGGCUUUGAAGCGUGGUCGCUAGAUCACGUGGAGCCAACGUUGAAAUACCACCCUGGUGUGUUUGAGGUUCUAACCUAGGUCCAUUAUCUGGAUCGGGGACAGUGCAUGGUAGGCAGUUUGACUGGGGCGGUCUCCUCCCAAAGCGUAACGGAGGAGUUCGAAGGUACGCUAGUUACGGUCGGACAUCGUGACGAUAGUGCAAUGGCAUAAGCGUGCUUAACUGCGAGACUGACAAGUCGAGCAGGUGCGAAAGCAGGACAUAGUGAUCCGGUGGUUCUGAAUGGAAGGGCCAUCGCUCAACGGAUAAAAGGUACUCUGGGGAUAACAGGCUGAUA